AGAGUUUGAUCCUGGCUCAGAGUGAUCGCUGGCGGCGUGCUUAACACAUGCAAGUCGAGCGAAUUUCAGCAGCGUAUCGCUGAAGUUAGCGGCAGACGGGUGAGUAAUACUUGGGCAAUCUGCCCUUGAGUGGGAAACAACCUGACGAAAGUCGGGCUAAUGUCCCAUAAGACCACAGGAUGGCAUCAUCCAGGGGUCAAAGCUCCGUAAGGGGCGCUUGAGGAGGAGCCCGAGUCCUAUCAGCUAGUUGGUGAGGUAACGGCUCACCAAGGCUUUGACGGGUAGCCGCCCUGAAAGGGUGAUCGGCCACACUGGCACUGAGACACGGGCCAGACUCCUACGGGAGGCACCAGUGGGGAAUUUUGGACAAUGGGGGCAACCCUGAUCCAGCGACGCCGCGUGAAGGAUGAAGGUCUUCGGAUUGUAAA
This 428-nucleotide ribosomal RNA is filed under the name uncultured bacterium. RNAcentral describes it as "bacterial SSU rRNA". It matches the Rfam family "Bacterial small subunit ribosomal RNA", at positions 8 to 429 of the family's 1533-position model. The record is from RNAcentral.